Molecule: non-coding RNA, 202 nt
Organism: Oryza glaberrima (African rice)
Lineage: Eukaryota; Viridiplantae; Streptophyta; Magnoliopsida; Poales; Poaceae
Source: Rfam
AAAAAGACAAACUCUUCUGUAUUCAAUAUUUGACCGUCCGUUUUAUUUAAAAAAAUAUAAAAAAAAGUAAAAAGACAAGUCACGCAUCAAAUAUUAAUCAUAUUUUAUCAUCUAACAAAAAUAAAAAUACUAAUUAUAAAAAAAGCUCAUAUAAGAUGGACAGUCAAAACGUUGGACACAAGAAUUUAGGGUCUGUUUUUUU